CGGAGGGUGCAAGCGUUAUCCGGAUUCACUGGGUUUAAAGGGUGCGUAGGCGGGCAGGUAAGUCCGUGGUGAAAUCCCUGAGCUUAACUCAGAAACUGCCAUGGAUACUAUUUGUCUUGAAUAUUGUGGAGGUAAGCGGAAUAUGUCAUGUAGCGGUGAAAUGCUUAGAUAUGACAUAGAACACCAAUUGCGAAGGCAGCUUACUACACAGUUAUUGACGCUGAGGCACGAAAGCGUGGGGAUCAAACAGGAUUAGAUACCCUGGUAGUCCACGCCCUAAACGAUGAUUACUCGACAUCAGCGAUACACUGUUGGUGUCUGAGCGAAAGCAUUAAGUAAUCCACCUGGGAAGUACGAUCGCAAGAUUG
This 368-nucleotide ribosomal RNA is filed under the name uncultured organism. RNAcentral describes it as "bacterial SSU rRNA". It matches the Rfam family "Bacterial small subunit ribosomal RNA", at positions 526 to 896 of the family's 1533-position model. The record is from RNAcentral.